AAGAGUCAUGCGGGAUCCAUUCGCAUUCAUUCGGGUCGAAUUGGUUCUCAUAUAUAAACACAUAACCCGGGCUUCAUCCUCACUUUUUCAUCUCGAACUAGGGUUUCUCAAGCCUCUCUCCCUCUGCUCUCUAAGACUCUUCAUGGAUCUGCGUAUAAUCCAUCCGAUUCAAGGGUUUCAUAACAAUCGAUCUAUUUACAACUACAUCAAGGGUUUCUUCAUCUUCGAUCAAUUCUCUUUUCUGAUCUGAUAAUAAAAUGUCGCUAUCUCCAAGGUAAGUAGCAUCAACUCUACAACCUUGGCUGGCUAUAUAGCAUCAGUGCAAAAGCUUCAAUAAAAAAAACCAUCUACUCCUGGCGAGCUGGAUAGAGGGAUCGCUAAUGAUGUAGCAUUUGGAUAACAUUGGUGUUGCACCUCUACCAAAAAGAAACAACAUUCAACCACUUUGGAUCACUUCUCUGCAUCAGGUGUUUUCUUUGCCAGAUACUUUUAAAAUUACUAGAACAAUGUAUUUUCUUAAAGCAAAUAUUUGCCCUAUUUGCAAGAUGACUGAAUUGACUUCUUUGAAUUUGUUAAAACAAUAAUUUUUCCUCAAAGCAAAUAUUUGGAGAUUUUUAUUAAUGGAUUUUAGAUAGGAUUUUAAUUAACUUUAAAAGUGUUUUAUUUAAAAAAGCUAAUUAAAGUCCUUUCUUGAUUUUUUGGAGUGAUAAGCAGCUAUCUAGAAGGAUCCAUUAAGGCCCGAACCGUUAUUUGAUUUGCUGAAUCCAUUUUAAAUUGUUAUUAUGAAGUAUUGACAUUUAUUUUCUUAAUGUGACUCAUUUCUUUCUAAACCUACAAACUACUCAAACUCAUAUAAUCAUAGAAACCAUGAAGCCACAUCAAUAGUACCUUUAGAUAUGUUUACAUGUAACUCACUGAUAAUUUGUUUUACUUUUUGUCUAUUUUUCUUAUUUUUGUAACAUAAAUUAUAUUUAUUUGCAUGUUUAUUUUGAUUAUUCUUGCAGGUUGCACACAUAAUACUUGUGUGUCAAUACAUUUACAGCUACGUUGUGGGUAAGUGGAUAUCCCUCUACCAUUUAACAAAGAAAUAUUAUAGAUCAGUGCCCACUGGACACACAAAGUUUAAAAAGCCAAAGUUAAAGUUACCCGUAUACAAGGUUUGUUAAUAGUUUUUUUUUAUUCAUGGAAGGUAUUAUUUGAAUAAAGAGAUUAAGAGGUGCCCAACAAAUUAGUGAAAUUUUUUGCUCGACUAUUUUGGGGGCAAGGUGACCCAACUUAAAUAGCCUGUUACCCAACCCGCCUAUGUUGCCCCUACCAAUUAUUCAUGAUUAUUUGCUAAUAUUUACAAACACACGUUAUCUUUCUACCCACCUCCAUUUAAAAAGAUUUAAUAUAUAUUUUUACAUGAUUUUUUGCUUGCGGAUUGUUGGUGGUAAUUUGGUAUAUCGACACACAAAAGUGGUGGUAAACAGGUGCUUGGUUUUGGAGUUGUCUCGUGGUUGAUUGCAACCUUUUUGACACAUAUUCUCUUGCUUAGGCCACUAAUGUGGUCGAGGAUUAUUUUCCUUUACGAAUUAACAAUUCAAGCCGAAAACGAAAAAGGGCCACACACCAACACACCAGGCGAAAAUUAUUUCAAAAAUCAAUUAAUGUCACAAAUAGUUUAAGCGGGAAAUUUGACAAAAUGUACAAAAGGUACUGCAUAUGCCAAUGACUUGGCAUUUUAAUUAAUUUGGAAAAUAAACAUGUAGACUUGCACGAGCAUGCCUUGAGUUUACAUACUACCGUAUAACAAAUUGCUAUGAUCGAUCGACUUGGAUAUACAUGACUAUAUGUUUGACUCAAAAAGUCAAAGCAUAUUACUGGAUCAGAUGUGGUUCUUGUGUUUUGAUGGCAGGAAUUCAGAGUACCACAACAACAACAACAAAGAAGUCAAAAGCAAAGUCUAAAUGUCAAUGAAAGCAAUAUUGUUACGAGGGAAACAUACCUUUGUUGGGGGGGCGUCAACCACAAUGAGGCAAACAAUUUCAAAGCAAUGGUACGGGAUGUGGGCAUGCUUAUUUAUUUACCACAUCAGGAAAAGCUAUAUCUGAAAUAUUAACUGCUUGAAAGUUCAACCUGUGGCAACUUUGCUCAACUCCAUCUUGCAAUGGCUUUCAAUGGAAAAUUUAUUAUUGUGUAUAAUCAUUUUUAGGACAAUAUAUCAUUGCCCUUUUUGCAACUUAUGUGGGCUUGGAAAGGGUCUCGGAAUUCUUUAUUUCAUUGUAUGACGUGUAACUAUUGUUUGGGUAUAACGUUAUUGGAUCAUAAGUAAAGGGAGAAACAUUUGUUUC
Long non-coding RNA from Helianthus annuus (common sunflower), 2333 nucleotides. RefSeq lists it as uncharacterized. Lineage: Eukaryota; Viridiplantae; Streptophyta; Magnoliopsida; Asterales; Asteraceae. The record is from RefSeq and is a predicted model, not a curated record. The transcript has 7 exons.